Molecule: unclassified non-coding RNA, 339 nt
Filed under: soil metagenome
Description: partial contains 5.8S ribosomal RNA, internal transcribed spacer 2, and large subunit ribosomal RNA
Rfam family: 5.8S ribosomal RNA (bases 1-120)
Source: RNAcentral
GAUGAAGAACGUAGCGAAAUGCGAUAAGUAGUGUGAAUUGCAGAAUUCAGUGAAUCAUCGAAUCUUUGAACGCACAUUGCGCCCUUUGGUAUUCCAAAGGGCAUGCCUGUUCGAGCGUCAUUUGUACCCUCAAGCUUUGCUUGGUGUUGGGCGUCUUGUCUCUAGCUUUGCUGGAGACUCGCCUUAAAGUAAUUGGCAGCCGGCCUACUGGUUUCGGAGCGCAGCACAAGUCGCACUCUCUAUCAGCAAAGGUCUAGCAUCCAUUAAGCCUUUUUUUCAACUUUUGACCUCGGAUCAGGUAGGGAUACCCGCUGAACUUAAGCAUAUCAUAAGCGGGGA